RNAcentral lists this ribosomal RNA (570 nucleotides) under uncultured bacterium. RNAcentral describes it as "partial 16S ribosomal RNA". It matches the Rfam family "Bacterial small subunit ribosomal RNA", at positions 355 to 918 of the family's 1533-position model. The record is from RNAcentral.
UGGGGAAUUUUGGACAAUGGGCGAAAGCCUGAUCCAGCAAUGCCGCGUGUGUGAAGAAGGCCUUCGGGUUGUAAAGCACUUUUGUCCGGAAAGAAAUCCUCUGGGUUAAUACCUCGGGGGGAUGACGGUACCGGAAGAAUAAGCACCGGCUAACUACGUGCCAGCAGCCGCGGUAAUACGUAGGGUGCAAGCGUUAAUCGGAAUUACUGGGCGUAAAGCGUGCGCAGGCGGUUUUGUAAGACGGAUGUGAAAUCCCCGGGCUUAACCUGGGAACUGCAUUCGUGACUGCAAGGCUAGAGUAUGGCAGAGGGGGGUAGAAUUCCACGUGUAGCAGUGAAAUGCGUAGAGAUGUGGAGGAAUACCGAUGGCGAAGGCAGCCCCCUGGGCCAAUACUGACGCUCAUGCACGAAAGCGUGGGGAGCAAACAGGAUUAGAUACCCUGGUAGUCCACGCCCUAAACGAUGUCAACUAGUUGUUGGGGAUUCAUUUCCUUAGUAACGUAGCUAACGCGUGAAGUUGACCGCCUGGGGAGUACGGUCGCAAGAUUAAAACUCAAAGGAAUUGACGGGG